GUCAACAGAGAUAAUUCACAACUUAAAUGAACUCUGCGAAUUACCCACAAAGUAAAAGUCCCACCUCAUCAGGAAAUGGUAAGAAGACAUGGGACUGACUUUUUGGAGUAAAGUAGUGUUACACCUGCCUCCGCAUCUCAGUGGGUAUCUGGUACUAGGUAUGCUGUGUGGCUGAUGGUGGAAUCCUUUCCAAUCUUGUCCAUCUGUCCUGAGGAUGAGUCUCACAAAAAUAUCCCUGAGUAUGCACGGAUGUAAACCUUGAGACCUUGAGCUGUGGCACUGGACCCAAGACCACUUAUCUCAUGUAACCAUGGCAGAUGACAGCACGAAGAGAGAAUGGCUUGCUCCCUGGAACGGUAUACCUUCCUCUCAAACCAAUGUUGGUGGGCGUGUCUCAGUCACUGCUGCAGACAGGCGCUGUUGAACUACAUGAGGCAUGCCGUAGACCAGUGACUGUAACAACAGUAACACAAAGAUUGUUCACCAACCUACAUAACUCGAAGCUUACUCCAUAAUUUUUGAGAUGUAAGCAGUCGGCUAUCAUUGUCUGAGGUUCAGAGAAGAGACCAACAUGCUUUGCCAGGAAGAAGCGAGUCAGUCCUCACACCCACAUCUACGGACUCCACGGUCAGCAGUUGCUGACUCAUUCCAUGCUAUGCUGUGGGGCUCAGGGAAGAGUGAUUGGUUUUGACUGCCCGAAUGAGGGCAAUUGUCCAAGGGUGUAUUUGUGUAUUCGUCUUGAGAGUUUGAUUUCUGGAGAGUGAGCAGAGGACCAUUCUUGUCCACCCAUUUCCCGAGAUCCUUCCUCCACCCAGUCAAAGGCCUCUUCUGAUGC
RNAcentral lists this long non-coding RNA (835 nucleotides) under Ursus maritimus (polar bear). RNAcentral's name for it is "lncRNA (ENSUMAG00000022469.1)". The record is from RNAcentral. Lineage: Eukaryota; Metazoa; Chordata; Mammalia; Carnivora; Ursidae.